CCUCACUGAAAAUGCCCAGUUCACAGCCUGAUAUUCUUUGAGCGUUUUUCCAUUCAAGUCCCAGUUAAGUGAUCACUCCUGGGUCUCCAACUGGUUUCGGUCCCGAAGCUGUGUUUGCAGAGAUGGAAGGAUGCUUGUUGAAGUCGGGACGUCCAAGGGCCACAUAAGUGAGGAUCUAAUUGCCGUGCCUUGUCUCAAGGAGUCUUGAGUUCAUGAUGUCUUAUAUUUCUUCAUUACUUCCCAAAGCAAAACUUUGUACAUCUAGACAUAUACGACAAGUUUGUUUUUUAUGAUUGUUUUAGUUUGUCUUGGCAAUUGACGUGGGAAGUUGUAACUUGACUCCAUCGACUGGCCCUUAAUUUCUGCAGUUCUCUCAGUUCUGGGAUUCAACACAGGACCAGCUUCCCCCUCAAGACAUUUGCUGAAUUCUGAAGCAGUCCUUUUUGGUGGCUGAGCUUGGUGAGGUGUGUUUUUAAAAGACCUUUAGUCCAUUCUACUUUUCUUGAAGACGGAGGACCAUAAGGGAUAUAAAGGUUUCACUGAAUACUAAGAGCCUGGAUUUUUAUAUUUGAUGAAAAAGAGCCUAAACGCUUCUGAUUUGGGAUAAAGAAAAAGGAGCAUUAACCUUGACUAUGAGAAAAGGAAGAUUAGAAAGACUCAGUGACGCUUGGGGUUGGUACUGAGGUGGAAUGUUCCCAUAGUGAAGGAAGCAAGCCUAGAGAGAAGAGAGAGUAGAGAAAUGGAGGGAAGGGAUUCAGGGGUUCUUACCUUCCAGAAAAGUGGGAAAAGGGGUUUGGGUGCAGAGAUAAGAAGUCAGGGCAUGGAAAUAAGGGAUGGGGCACAGAAAU
RNAcentral lists this long non-coding RNA (848 nucleotides) under Homo sapiens (human). Its description in RNAcentral is "ADAPT38". Lineage: Eukaryota; Metazoa; Chordata; Mammalia; Primates; Hominidae. The record is from RNAcentral.